This 346-nucleotide ribosomal RNA is filed under the name Clostridioides difficile. RNAcentral describes it as "bacterial LSU rRNA". It matches the Rfam family "Bacterial large subunit ribosomal RNA", at positions 2239 to 2584 of the family's 2925-position model. The record is from RNAcentral. Lineage: Bacteria; Bacillati; Bacillota; Clostridia; Peptostreptococcales; Peptostreptococcaceae.
UCUGGUCUUGGGACACUGUCAGGUGGGCAGUUUGACUGGGGCGGUCGCCUCCCAAAAGGUAACGGAGGCGCUCAAAGGUUCUCUCAGUACGGUCGGAAAUCGUACGUAGAGUGUAAAGGCAAAAGAGAGCUGGAUUGCAAGACAUACAGGUCGAGCAAGGAUGAAAAUCGGACUUAGUGAUCCGGUGGUUCGGCGUGGAAGGGCCAUCGCUCAACGGAUAAAAGCUACCCUGGGGAUAACAGGCUUAUCUCCCCCAAGAGUCCACAUCGACGGGGAGGUUUGGCACCUCGAUGUCGGCUCAUCACAUCCUGGGGCUGUAGUAGGUCCCAAGGGUUGGGCUGUUCGC